RNAcentral lists this long non-coding RNA (735 nucleotides) under Ananas comosus (pineapple). Its description in RNAcentral is "long non-coding RNA (ACOM_LNC041738)". Lineage: Eukaryota; Viridiplantae; Streptophyta; Magnoliopsida; Poales; Bromeliaceae. The record is from RNAcentral.
ACCAAACACCGGUAAUUCAUACCGAGUCCCUCACAGCACAACUAAAAUGCACGAAUACCCCUCCACGUGCGAUCUCACGCGAAACUGUACAUAAAAUAUCGCGACUUUUGCGAAAAUACCAUUUUGCUAACACCGACCUCUCCUCGAUCAACGCGCGAUCUCCGCAGAUCCGUCAGUCAGAUUCGCGAACGGAUUGCACCAGUGCGAUCAGCACGACGGAGACAACAAAGCUGCGAUUUCGUUUCGUCUUGAUCGACCACGGAUUCACGACAAAAUCCAACCUUCUUUGAAUAGAAGGAAACACACACAUAAAUACAUAUAAAACAUGUAUUUUUGGAUUUUCUCGAAAUCCGUGCGUCAAACUCAAAAUCCGUCAGCGUCAUUGGUUCCAGAACAGCUGACCCGGUCGAAACGAGCUAUUGGACUGCUAUGAACAGAGUCCGGUACGAGCCAAAAGCCAACUUCCCACCGUGGCUUCUCCGGAAAAUCGAGUUACUAUUCACUUUAAGUGAAACUUGGAAAGCGCGUAGAAUUUCCGUUUUAACUCGUUUUCGCCCGAAACUUGACGAGUCCUUUUGUAAUUAAAUUACACACAAAAACAUCGUCAACUGAGAGUUUAGCUACACUGCAAAAAUCUCAGUCCUUACAUGCUCAGUCAGCACGGAUGUAUCAAUAGGUCCCGGCUCGUCAUGAUCAUCCAACUGAAAUUGGCACAAAAAAAAAAACUUAGUUAGA